ACCCGGCUAGGUCAGUUGGUAGCGCAUGGGACGCUUGAUCUCAGGAUUGUGGGUUUGAGCCCCAUGCUGGAUG
RNAcentral lists this transfer RNA (73 nucleotides) under Pangasianodon gigas (Mekong giant catfish). RNAcentral's name for it is "tRNA-Lys". Lineage: Eukaryota; Metazoa; Chordata; Actinopteri; Siluriformes; Pangasiidae. The record is from RNAcentral.